GAAGAAACAAUGGAGAUGAGUAAGAAUAAUUAAAUGGUUUAAUUAUUUAUGGCAAGGAUUAAUUGAUAUGUUAAUUAAUCAAACGAAUAAGUUCGUUAAAGACCUCGGGAUAGUUUUGGACCUUAAGGCCCAAUGGGCUUCGAACGUCAAGCCCAUUAACUUAAGUUGUAUGACAACUUAAUGAAUAAUGAUUCACAAAGGCCCAAUUAGUCCAAAAAUAUCCCAAUGGCCGGCCAUAUUAGAGAUGGAGUGGGUUUUGGACUUAUUUACAAGUUUGCCACUCCGAUGAAUUAAGGUAUAAAUAUGACUUUAUAGCCAAAAUUCAUUAAGGGUUUUCUUUUGGAGAAAAUUGGUGAGAACUUGUCUCUCCUUUUCUCUCUAAAGAGGCCGGCCCCUUGGAGGG
RNAcentral lists this long non-coding RNA (403 nucleotides) under Malus domestica (apple). RNAcentral describes it as "long non-coding RNA (MDOM_LNC010560)". The record is from RNAcentral. Lineage: Eukaryota; Viridiplantae; Streptophyta; Magnoliopsida; Rosales; Rosaceae.